This 30-nucleotide non-coding RNA is filed under the name Rattus norvegicus (Norway rat). The record is from RNAcentral. Lineage: Eukaryota; Metazoa; Chordata; Mammalia; Rodentia; Muridae.
UNCUACCUUCACUCUGAGUGCAUGUGUGGU